RNAcentral lists this unclassified non-coding RNA (343 nucleotides) under soil metagenome. Its description in RNAcentral is "partial contains 5.8S ribosomal RNA, internal transcribed spacer 2, and large subunit ribosomal RNA". The stretch from base 1 to 120 matches the Rfam family "5.8S ribosomal RNA", at positions 35 to 154 of the family's 154-position model. The record is from RNAcentral.
GAUGAAGAACGCAGCGAAAUGCGAUAAGUAAUGUGAAUUGCAGAAUUCAGUGAAUCAUCGAAUCUUUGAACGCACAUUGCGCCCGCUAGUAUUCUGGCGGGCAUGCCUGUCCGAGCGUCAUUUCAACCCUCAAGCCCCCGGGCUUGGUGUUGGGGAUCGGCGAGCCUCCGCGCCCGCCGUCCCCUAAAUCUAGUGGCGGUCUCGCUGUAGCUUCCUCUGCGUAGUAGCACACCUCGCACUGGGAAACAGCGCGGCCACGCCGUUAAACCCCCAACUUCUGAACGUUUGACCUCGGAUCAGGUAGGAAUACCAGCUGAACUUAAGCAUAUCAAUAAGCGGAGGA